GUGUAUGCACUGCCCCAUUACACAGCCCACAUUACUGUAGCGUAUCAUUUCUCUCCGUUUUUUAUACUGAAACAAACCCUGCGUUGCCACUCAGCUCUCUUUCCAUUCCCUCUGUCUAUAAUCAUUACAUUAUCAAACAUUUUCUCA
Molecule: long non-coding RNA, 147 nt
Organism: Etheostoma cragini (Arkansas darter)
Lineage: Eukaryota; Metazoa; Chordata; Actinopteri; Perciformes; Percidae
Exons: 3
Source: RefSeq, a predicted model, not a curated record